RNAcentral lists this ribosomal RNA (260 nucleotides) under uncultured Bacillota bacterium. RNAcentral describes it as "uncultured Firmicutes bacterium partial 16S ribosomal RNA". It matches the Rfam family "Bacterial small subunit ribosomal RNA", at positions 338 to 590 of the family's 1533-position model. Lineage: Bacteria; Bacillati; Bacillota. The record is from RNAcentral.
CCUACGGGGGGCUGCAGUAGGGAAUCUUCCACAAUGGGCGCAAGCCUGAUGGAGCAACGCCGCGUGUGUGAUGAAGGCUUUCGGGUCGUAAAGCACUGUUGUAUGGGAAGAAAUGCUAAAAUAGGGAAUGAUUUUAGUUUGACGGUACCAUACCAGAAAGGGACGGCUAAAUACGUGCCAGCAGCCGCGGUAAUACGUAUGUCCCGAGCGUUAUCCGGAUUUAUUGGGCGUAAAGCGAGCGCAGACGGUUGAUUAAGUCU